GACGAACGCUGGCGGCGUGCCUAAUACAUGCAAGUCGAACGCUGAAGGGAGGAGCUUGCUGUUCGUGCGGGAGUCGCGAACGGGUGAGUAACGCGAAGGUCCUCUGCCUUGUAGCGGGGGAUAACUAUUGGAAACGAUAGCUAAUUCCUAAUAACAAUGGCUGACACAUGUCUUUUAUUUUAAGGUGGCAAUUGAUCCACUACCACAUGGAUCUUCGUUGUAUUAGCUAGUAGGUGAGGUAAUGGCUCACCUAGGCGAAGAUAAAUAGCCGACCGGAGAGGGUGGACGGCCACACUGGGCCUGAGACCCGGCACACGCUCCUACGGGAGGCGGCAGUAGGGAAUCUUCGGCAAGGGGGGCAACCCUGACCGAGCAACGCCGCGUGAGGGAAGAAGGAUGUCGGAUCGUAAAGCUCUGUUGUAAGUCAGGAACGGGUGUGAGAGUGGAACGUUCACACUGUGACGGUAGCUUAACAGAAAGGGACGGCUAACUACGUG
RNAcentral lists this ribosomal RNA (497 nucleotides) under uncultured bacterium. RNAcentral describes it as "partial 16S ribosomal RNA". It matches the Rfam family "Bacterial small subunit ribosomal RNA", at positions 28 to 507 of the family's 1533-position model. The record is from RNAcentral.